This 1542-nucleotide ribosomal RNA is filed under the name Salmonella enterica subsp. enterica serovar Typhi. RNAcentral's name for it is "bacterial SSU rRNA". It matches the Rfam family "Bacterial small subunit ribosomal RNA". The record is from RNAcentral. Lineage: Bacteria; Pseudomonadati; Pseudomonadota; Gammaproteobacteria; Enterobacterales; Enterobacteriaceae.
AAAUUGAAGAGUUUGAUCAUGGCUCAGAUUGAACGCUGGCGGCAGGCCUAACACAUGCAAGUCGAACGGUAACAGGAAGCAGCUUGCUGCUUUGCUGACGAGUGGCGGACGGGUGAGUAAUGUCUGGGAAACUGCCUGAUGGAGGGGGAUAACUACUGGAAACGGUGGCUAAAACCGCAUAACGUCGCUAGACCAAAGAGGGGAACCCUGGGGCCUCUUGCCAUCAGAAGUGCCCAGGUGGGAUUAGCUUGUUGGUGAGGUAACGGCUCACCAAGGCGACGAUCCCUAGCUGGUCUGAGAGGAUGACCAGCCACACUGGAACUGAGACACGGUCCAGACUCCUACGGGAGGCAGCAGUGGGGAAUAUUGCACAAUGGGCGCAAGCCUGAUGCAGCCAUGCCGCGUGUAUGAAGAAGGCCUUCGGGUUGUAAAGUACUUUCAGCGGGGAGGAAGGUGUUGUGGUUAAUAACCGCAGCAAUUGACGUUACCCGCAGAAGAAGCACCGGCUAACUCCGUGCCAGCAGCCGCGGUAAUACGGAGGGUGCAAGCGUUAAUCGGAAUUACUGGGCGUAAAGCGCACGCAGGCGGUCUGUCAAGUCGGAUGUGAAAUCCCCGGGCUCAACCUGGGAACUGCAUUCGAAACUGGCAGGCUUGAGUCUUGUAGAGGGGGGUAGAAUUCCAGGUGUAGCGGUGAAAUGCGUAGAGAUCUGGAGGAAUACCGGUGGCGAAGGCGGCCCCCUGGACAAAGACUGACGCUCAGGUGCGAAAGCGUGGGGAGCAAACAGGAUUAGAUACCCUGGUAGUCCACGCCGUAAACGAUGUCUACUUGGAGGUUGUGCCCUUGAGGCGUGGCUUCCGGAGCUAACGCGUUAAGUAGACCGCCUGGGGAGUACGGCCGCAAGGUUAAAACUCAAAUGAAUUGACGGGGGCCCGCACAAGCGGUGGAGCAUGUGGUUUAAUUCGAUGCAACGCGAAGAACCUUACCUGGUCUUGACAUCCACAGAACUUUCCAGAGAUGGAUUGGUGCCUUCGGGAACUGUGAGACAGGUGCUGCAUGGCUGUCGUCAGCUCGUGUUGUGAAAUGUUGGGUUAAGUCCCGCAACGAGCGCAACCCUUAUCCUUUGUUGCCAGCGGUCCGGCCGGGAACUCAAAGGAGACUGCCAGUGAUAAACUGGAGGAAGGUGGGGAUGACGUCAAGUCAUCAUGGCCCUUACGACCAGGGCUACACACGUGCUACAAUGGCGCAUACAAAGAGAAGCGACCUCGCGAGAGCAAGCGGACCUCAUAAAGUGCGUCGUAGUCCGGAUUGGAGUCUGCAACUCGACUCCAUGAAGUCGGAAUCGCUAGUAAUCGUGGAUCAGAAUGCCACGGUGAAUACGUUCCCGGGCCUUGUACACACCGCCCGUCACACCAUGGGAGUGGGUUGCAAAAGAAGUAGGUAGCUUAACCUUCGGGGGGGCGCUUACCACUUUGUGAUUCAUGACUGGGGUGAAGUCGUAACAAGGUAACCGUAGGGGAACCUGCGGUUGGAUCACCUCCUUA